RNAcentral lists this ribosomal RNA (371 nucleotides) under uncultured bacterium. RNAcentral's name for it is "bacterial SSU rRNA". It matches the Rfam family "Bacterial small subunit ribosomal RNA", at positions 527 to 896 of the family's 1533-position model. The record is from RNAcentral.
GGAGGGUGCUAGCGUUGUUCGGAAUUACUGGGCGUAAAGCGCGUGUAGGCGGAUGUGUAGGUCAGAUGUGAAAUCCCUUGGCUCAACUGAGGAAGUGCAUCUGAAACCACAUAUCUUGAGUACGAGAGAGGAGGGUGGAAUUCCCAGUGUAGAGGUGAAAUUCAUAGAUAUUGGGAAGAACACCGGUGGCGAAGGCGGCUCUCUGGCUCGAUACUGACGCUGAGACGCGAAAGCGUGGGUAGCAAACAGGAUUAGAUACCCUGGUAGUCCACGCCGUAAACGAUGUGCACUAGGUGUUGGAAGUAAUUAAACUUUCAGUGCCGCAGCUAACGCAUUAAGUGCACCGCCUGGGGAUUACGGUCGCAAGAUUA